Molecule: ribosomal RNA, 422 nt
Filed under: uncultured bacterium
Lineage: Bacteria
Description: bacterial SSU rRNA
Rfam family: Bacterial small subunit ribosomal RNA
Source: RNAcentral
UAAGGAAUAUUGGUCAAUGGACGCAAGUCUGAACCAGCCAUGCCGCGUGGAGGAUGAAGGCCCUCUGGGUUGUAAACUUCUUUUAUCUGGGACGAAAAAGGGUCUUUCUAGAUCAACUGACGGUACCAUGUGAAUAAGCACCGGCUAACUCCGUGCCAGCAGCCGCGGUAAUACGGAGGGUGCAAGCGUUAUCCGGAUUCACUGGGUUUAAAGGGUGCGUAGGUGGGUUGGUAAGUCAGUGGUGAAAUCUCCGAGCUUAACUUGGAAACUGCCAUUGAUACUAUUAGUCUUGAAUAUUGUGGAGGUUAGCGGAAUAUGUCAUGUAGCGGUGAAAUGCUUAGAUAUGACAUAGAACACCAAUUGCGAAGGCAGCUGGCUACACAUAUAUUGACACUGAGGCACGAAAGCGUGGGGAUCAAACA